UUUGGAAACAUGAAGGUGAUACAAAUCAUGCAUAUAUACCAACAAGACAGUGUACAUCACUGUCACAACAGCGUUUGUUUUAGUUCAAAGGCUUUAUGGUUUUUCCUAUAAUACCUGGUGGUGUAGUCGGUGAUUUUUUGUCAGUUGAGCUUUAUAUAUUAUGGUUAACCCGAGUGACCACCCGGUCAGCUGGUGGGUCACUAUGGCGUUAUUUUUGUGCCACUAUUCUGAGCGCACG
Long non-coding RNA from Oreochromis niloticus (Nile tilapia), 238 nucleotides. RefSeq lists it as uncharacterized. The record is from RefSeq and is a predicted model, not a curated record. Lineage: Eukaryota; Metazoa; Chordata; Actinopteri; Cichliformes; Cichlidae. The transcript has 2 exons.